UACGGGGGGGGUAAGCGUUGUUCGGAAUUAUUGGGCGUAAAGAGCUUGUAGGCGGUUUGUCGCGUCUGCUGUGAAAUUUCGGGGCUCAACCCCGAACUUGCAGUGGGUACGGGCAGACUAGAGUGUGGUAGGGGAGACUGGAAUUCCUGGUGUAGCGGUGAAAUGCGCAGAUAUCAGGAGGAACACCGAUGGCGAAGGCAGGUCUCUGGGCCAUAACUGACGCUGAGAAGCGAAAGCAUGGGGAGCGAACAGG
This 253-nucleotide ribosomal RNA is filed under the name uncultured bacterium. RNAcentral's name for it is "partial 16S ribosomal RNA". It matches the Rfam family "Bacterial small subunit ribosomal RNA", at positions 524 to 776 of the family's 1533-position model. The record is from RNAcentral.